UACGUAGGGUGCAAGCGUUAAUCGGAAUUACUGGGCGUAAAGCGUACGCAGGCGGCUAUGUAAGACAGGUGUGAAAUCCCCGGGCCUAACCUGGGAACUGCAUUUGUGACUGCAUAGCUAGAGUCUGUCAGAGGGGGGUGGAAUUCCUAGUGUAGAGGUGAAAUUCGUAGAUAUUAGGAAGAACACCGGUGGCGAAGGCGGCCCACUGGAUCGGUACUGACGCUGAGGUGCGAAAGCGUGGGGAGCAAACAGG
This 253-nucleotide ribosomal RNA is filed under the name uncultured prokaryote. RNAcentral's name for it is "partial 16S ribosomal RNA". It matches the Rfam family "Bacterial small subunit ribosomal RNA", at positions 524 to 776 of the family's 1533-position model. The record is from RNAcentral.